Molecule: ribosomal RNA, 111 nt
Filed under: Scophthalmus maximus (turbot)
Lineage: Eukaryota; Metazoa; Chordata; Actinopteri; Pleuronectiformes; Scophthalmidae
Source: RNAcentral
GCUUACGGCCACACCGCCUGGUUCACGCCCUUGAUCUCGGAAGCUAACAUAGGUUGGGCCUGGUUAGUACUUGGAUGGGAGACCGCCUGGGAAUACCAGGUGCUGUAAGCU